UUAUAACUCCACCUCAGGAAAUGACAUCAGCAAAGUGUAAAUGAACAAUUUCAGAAAUAGUUGCAAAACUGUGUGAGGAGGAGAACAAGAAAUUUCAUAAAGCAUUUGCUGAAUUUCCUCUUACAGGAGUGAAAGAUGUUCACAAUCACGUCGGCUGUUAUCCUCUUUCUGAUUUAUAGUGUGGAAGGUUUGACAUUAGAACAAAGUAAGAAGGUCUGGGUAAAGUCAACUGGGAAAUCAGUGUCCUUUAUAUGCAAAGUAACUGGUCUGAACAGUGGUAAUUAUGUCCACUGGUACCACAAGAAAGAUGGAGGCACACUUAAAAGAUUUCUCUACAUCAGUGAAUCUGGGUCUCCCACCAUUGAAGCAAAAGAAUUUGCAGCUGAGAAAAAUGGAAAUUCAUAUGAAAUAAAAAUUAAUGGAAUAAAGAAGGAACAUGCCGGUGUUUAUUACUGUGCAAGCUGGGAUGCCAGCCACAGUGACACAAAACUAAUACAUCAGAUACAAAAACCUUAAGUGAAACUAACAGUAAGCCAGAAUCAAACAAGAGAUAAUGUCUGAGCAAAACUACCACAAACAGUUUAAUGUAACAGAUGGUUACUGAACAAAAUAUGUAAUUCACCCAGAAGCCUGUUUUCAAAAAGCAAAGUGAAAACAGGAUUAGGUCGAUGGUCCUGAAAUGUUGUGGAAAUAUGACAAUAAAUACUGUAAAUACUGCAAAAGCAUCUCGAGAUUAUGUUUAAAAGAACUAAAGUAGCAAAUGUGUUCAUCACAGAUCCAAAAUUAUUUAAUUCUAUAUACAAUCAAUAUUUUGAGCUUUACAUCAGGGUCAUUAUCCAUCCAUCCAUCCAUCCAGUACAAUCAAUCAGUCAGUCAAGCAAGUCUUUGAGUGGAAACAACCCAGCGGUUGAGAUAUGGUUUAUGUCACACAGAUCAUAUACAAAGUGUUAACAUUAAGCAUUACAUUUGUGCAAAUAAUAUCACCUACAUAAAGAAAAUGCAUUGGCAUUUAUUAUACAGUAACUCCGCCUCAGGAAAUUACAUCAGAAAAGUAUAAAUGAACAAUUUGCAUACUGUGCAAAACAGCGUAAGGAGGAGUACAAGACUUUUUAUAAAGCAUACUGUGUAUCCUCUUACAUAACUAAAUAUGCUCAUAUUCGCAUACACUGUUAUCCUCUUGAUGAUUUAUGGUGUGGACAGUGUGACAAUAAAACAAAACCAGAAGAUCUGGAUAAAACCAAUACGGAAAACAGUGUUCUUUAAAUGUGAGGUAACUGGUCUGGGCGCCAGUAAUUAUGUCC
Triplophysa rosa is the source of this 1301-nucleotide long non-coding RNA. RefSeq lists it as uncharacterized. NCBI's taxonomy places the organism in Eukaryota, Metazoa, Chordata, Actinopteri, Cypriniformes, Nemacheilidae. The record is from RefSeq and is a predicted model, not a curated record. The transcript has 3 exons.